This is a long non-coding RNA of Pantherophis guttatus, 420 nucleotides long. RefSeq lists it as uncharacterized. NCBI's taxonomy places the organism in Eukaryota, Metazoa, Chordata, Lepidosauria, Squamata, Colubridae. The record is from RefSeq and is a predicted model, not a curated record.
UGUGAUCCAUUUCUUUCAUAUUUUCGGUCCAGUUCUCUAUUCCAAACCGACGUUAGGAAAAUAAGGAACACUGCGCAUUUGUUGUGUUUCCUUCAAGGAUUGUUUAGUUGGAGUUGUUGCCAACUUCCUGAUGAGCUAUUUCUGAAGCUGUGUUGGAGACCACACUUCCUUUCCUGUCUUAAGGAAAAGAAGACCAGGCAGAGCAAAACAGCUUUCCUUGGAGAAAAGUAAGCCCUUCAAUCACUAGGGAUCAGCCGUCCCAUCGGACUGCAGGUGAUGGAAUGCAGGAAGAUGACUCUGUGAAGAUUCACCUGGUGGAGGAGGGGACAGCAAUAUGAAUGUGGGGCUGAAGAAUUUGUCCACCGUUGUUUUUUCCAUUUCUCACUCAUUCUAAAGGAAAAUAAAUUUCUCAGACUUUGA